RNAcentral lists this ribosomal RNA (910 nucleotides) under Solidesulfovibrio aerotolerans. RNAcentral's name for it is "bacterial SSU rRNA". It matches the Rfam family "Bacterial small subunit ribosomal RNA", at positions 54 to 956 of the family's 1533-position model. The record is from RNAcentral. Lineage: Bacteria; Pseudomonadati; Thermodesulfobacteriota; Desulfovibrionia; Desulfovibrionales; Desulfovibrionaceae.
CAUGCAGUCGAGCGGUAGCACAGAGAGCUUGCUCUCGGGUGACGAGCGGCGGACGGGUGAGUAAUGUCUGGGAAACUGCCUGAUGGAGGGGGAUAACUACUGGAAACGGUAGCUAAUACCGCAUAACGUCGCAAGACCAAAGUGGGGGACCUUCGGGCCUCAUGCCAUCAGAUGUGCCCAGAUGGGAUUAGCUAGUAGGUGGGGUAACGGCUCACCUAGGCGACGAUCCCUAGCUGGUCUGAGAGGAUGACCAGCCACACUGGAACUGAGACACGGUCCAGACUCCUACGGGAGGCAGCAGUGGGGAAUAUUGCACAAUGGGCGCAAGCCUGAUGCAGCCAUGCCGCGUGUAUGAAGAAGGCCUUCGGGUUGUAAAGUACUUUCAGCGGGGAGGAAGGCGAUAAGGUUAAUAACCUUGUCGAUUGACGUUACCCGCAGAAGAAGCACCGGCUAACUCCGUGCCAGCAGCCGCGGUAAUACGGAGGGUGCAAGCGUUAAUCGGAAUUACUGGGCGUAAAGCGCACGCAGGCGGUCUGUCAAGUCGGAUGUGAAAUCCCCGGGCUCAACCUGGGAACUGCAUUCGAAACUGGCAGGCUAGAGUCUUGUAGAGGGGGGUAGAAUUCCAGGUGUAGCGGUGAAAUGCGUAGAGAUCUGGAGGAAUACCGGUGGCGAAGGCGGCCCCCUGGACAAAGACUGACGCUCAGGUGCGAAAGCGUGGGGAGCAAACAGGAUUAGAUACCCUGGUAGUCCACGCCGUAAACGAUGUCGAUUUGGAGGUUGUGCCCUUGAGGCGUGGCUUCCGGAGCUAACGCGUUAAAUCGACCGCCUGGGGAGUACGGCCGCAAGGUUAAACUCAAAUGAAUUGACGGGGGCCCGCACAAGCGGUGGAGCAUGUGGUUUAAUUUCGAUG